RNAcentral lists this ribosomal RNA (460 nucleotides) under uncultured bacterium. RNAcentral describes it as "partial 16S ribosomal RNA". It matches the Rfam family "Bacterial small subunit ribosomal RNA", at positions 338 to 795 of the family's 1533-position model. The record is from RNAcentral.
CCUACGGGAGGCAGCAGUGAGGAAUAUUGGUCACUGGACGAGAGUCUGAACCAGCCAAGUAGCGUGAAGGAUGACUGCCCUAUGGGUUGUAAACUUCUUUUAUAUGGGAAUAAAAUGUUCCACGGAUAGGAUUUUGUAUGUACCAUAUGAAUAAGGAUCGGCUAACUCCGUGCCAGCAGCCGCGGUAAUACGGAGGAUCCGAGCGUUAUCCGGAUUUAUUGGGGUUAAUGGGAGCGUAGGUGGAUUGUUAAGUCAGUUGUGAAAGUUUGCGGCUCAACCGUAAAAUUGCAGUUGAAACUGGCAGUCUUGAGUACAGUAGAGGUGGGCGGAAUUCGUGGUGUAGCGGUGAAAUGCUUAGAUAUCACGAAGAACUCCGAUUGCGAAGGCAGUUCACUGGACUGCAACUGACACUGAGGCUCGAAAGUGUGGGUAUCAAACAGGAUUAGAUACCCCUGUAGUC